RNAcentral lists this ribosomal RNA (277 nucleotides) under Tokunosia tenuipes. RNAcentral's name for it is "partial 16S ribosomal RNA". The record is from RNAcentral. Lineage: Eukaryota; Metazoa; Arthropoda; Arachnida; Opiliones; Epedanidae.
UGACUGUACUAAGGUAGCAUAAUCAUUAGCCUUUUAAUUGGGGGCUGGAAUGAAGGGUUAUUAUUAAGAAGAGAGGUUUUGUUUAUUGAAUUUGAAUUUAAAUUAAGAGUUAAAAUGCUUUUAUGUAUCUUUGGGACGAUAAGACCCUAGAAGUUUUAUAUCGAAAUUAUAGGAUUGAGAUAGUUAGUUGGGGAGACUGAUGAAGAGUAUAAACUUUAUAAUGUGAGAGAAAGUAAAGAAUUACUCUAGGGAUAACAGCGUUAUUUAAUUUUUAAGU